Molecule: ribosomal RNA, 253 nt
Filed under: uncultured bacterium
Lineage: Bacteria
Description: partial 16S ribosomal RNA
Rfam family: Bacterial small subunit ribosomal RNA
Source: RNAcentral
UACGGAAGGGGCAAGCGUUGUUCGGAAUCAUUGGGCGUAAAGGGCGCGUAGGUGGUUCUGUAUGUCUACCGUGAGAGCGUACGGCUCAACCGUAUUUUGUCGGUGGAAACUGCAGGACUUGAGGCUGGGAGGGGCUGGUGGAAUUCCCUGUGUAGCGGUGAAAUGCGUAGAUAUCGGGAGGAACACCAGUGGCGAAGGCGACUUCCUGGCCUGUUCUUGACGCUGAGGCGCGAAAGCUAGGGGAGCGAACAGG